Molecule: ribosomal RNA, 439 nt
Filed under: uncultured bacterium
Lineage: Bacteria
Description: bacterial SSU rRNA
Rfam family: Bacterial small subunit ribosomal RNA
Source: RNAcentral
AACGCGAAGAACCUUACCUGGGCUUGACAUCCUCUGAUCAUCUAGGAGACUAGGUUUCCGGGCAACCGGACAGAGAGACAGGUGCUGCAUGGCUGUCGUCAGCUCGUGUCGUGAGAUGUUGGGUUAAGUCCCGCAACGAGCGCAACCCUUAUUACCAGUUGCCAUCAUUAAGUUGGGCACUCAGGUGAGACCGCCUCGGAUAACGGGGAGGAAGGCGGGGAUGACGUCAAGUCCUCAUGGCCUUUAUGUCCAGGGCUACACACGUGCUACAAUGGCCGGUACAAACCGUCGCAAACCCGUGAGGGGGAGCUAAUCGGAAAAAGCCGGCCUCAGUUCGGAUUGUAGUCUGCAACUCGACUACAUGAAGCUGGAAUCGCUAGUAAUCGCGGAUCAGAAUGCCGCGGUGAAUACGUUCCCGGGCCUUGUACACACCGACAUA